RNAcentral lists this ribosomal RNA (558 nucleotides) under Alternaria brassicae. Its description in RNAcentral is "eukaryotic LSU rRNA". The stretch from base 177 to 330 matches the Rfam family "5.8S ribosomal RNA". The record is from RNAcentral. Lineage: Eukaryota; Fungi; Ascomycota; Dothideomycetes; Pleosporales; Pleosporaceae.
GGAGGGAUCAUUACCGAUAUGAUGGCGGGCUGGAACCUCUCGGGGUUACAGCCUUGCUGAAUUAUUCACCCUUGUCUUUUGCGUACUUCUUGUUUCCUUGGUGGGUUCGCCCACCACUAGGACAAACAUAAACCUUUUGUAAUUGCAAUCAGCGUCAGUAACAAAUUAAUAAUUACAACUUUCAACAACGGAUCUCUUGGUUCUGGCAUCGAUGAAGAACGCAGCGAAAUGCGAUAAGUAGUGUGAAUUGCAGAAUUCAGUGAAUCAUCGAAUCUUUGAACGCACAUUGCGCCCUUUGGUAUUCCAAAGGGCAUGCCUGUUCGAGCGUCAUUUGUACCCUCAAGCUUUGCUUGGUGUUGGGCGUCUUGUCUCUAGCUUUGCUGGAGACUCGCCUUAAAGUAAUUGGCAGCCGGCCUACUGGUUUCGGAGCGCAGCACAAGUCGCACUCUCUAUCAGCAAAGGUCUAGCAUCCAUUAAGCCUUUUUUUCAACUUUUGACCUCGGAUCAGGUAGGGAUACCCGCUGAACAUAAGCAUAUCAAUAAGCGGGAGGGAAAAAA